Molecule: long non-coding RNA, 3984 nt
Organism: Equus quagga
Lineage: Eukaryota; Metazoa; Chordata; Mammalia; Perissodactyla; Equidae
Exons: 3
Source: RefSeq, a predicted model, not a curated record
UACUCAAGGGGUGAAGAGAACUUUUCUCACAAAAAUUUUCACUAUUCAUCCCACUCUUUUCCUCAUAGACAUCCCUGAAGCAGAGGCAGAAGACAGAUUCUAGAACACUCUUUGAUGAUCUCUCAGGUGCCAUGUGCCCUGCAGCAGUGAUUGAGGCUCUGUCAGAGAGUGGUGAGCUUCUCUGUGAUAUGUGGUCAUCAUGACACCUCCCUAUUGACCCUGUCCUGGGAUCCAGGUCCUGGACCAGCCAUGUUAUGUACCAAUGUCUCCUGUCAUCCGCAUGAUAACUCCAUUCUAUAGGUGAGGAAACUGAGGCUUGGCAAGGCUAAGUAACUUACUCAAGGUCACACAGCUGGUAAAUAGCAAAACCAAGAUGUCCACCCUGUUUGACCUGUCCCAGCCCACAUUCCUGCCACUGUGCCACUCCCCUUUGUAAUGGGGCAAGCAUUGGCCUGGAAUUCAAGAUUCCAGCUCUGAGCCAAGUGAUGGACUUUCCUGAUGGACCUCCGCUUUAUCACUUUGUAAAUGGAAGGAGGAAAGGCCACCCUCCCACUGCCCAGGCAACUCUGAAUAUGAGAAGAGCAGUCAGCCAUUUGAAGAGUGCUAUUUAACUCAUUACAGAGAACAGUCCUUUUGAAUCUAUGAGAAUUUUCUGGAAGUCACAUGUCAUUUUCACUUUCACCUAUUAAAACCGAAGCUUACAUUCAGCUUUUUUAAAAGCUUCCCUGUGCAGAGGCGGCCAGCAGCCAGCGGCACAGGCUGGGUCUCAGGCCUGUGCUGAAGGUCAACCCUCUCUGGAAUCAUAAACCAGCUCAGCAAGCUACAGUCUUGGGCUCAAACCUGAACUUACUUUGAAAGAAAGAAAGACCUGCAAAAAGGUCACAAUGAACCAAUAGAAAAUAUUCAAUGGCUCUCAUUGUCUUGACUCAAUGUAGGCUUGGGGGGCGAUGUAGCACAUCCUAAGAGCCCAGCGAGGAAUAAACUGAGCCGUGAGGAAAUUGAGUUCCUGGGCUGGAGUGGAGCCCAAGGCCUGGAUGAGAUCCCUUACCACAUCUGCUUCCCUCAUAAGGGAUCCUUAACUCCCAGGCUCUGCCAGGUGGAAGCCAAACCAGCCCUGGGCCAGGAGCCAGAGCAAGGACUUACCUGGAAGGGACAUCUGCUAAGCUCUUUGAAACAAAUGCAAAAGCUGCUAUUUUAAUGAUCAUAAAUUCCUAUAGCAGGUUCCCCCAGUACCCUGGCUACCAUAUUAGCAGAAUCAUUUUUCAAUUUACUGGGUACAGAGGAGACUCAGUGCCCACGGCCAAGCAGAGGGUGUGUGUGUGUAUGUGUGUGUGUGUGUGUGUGUGUGUGUGUAUGUGUGUGUUUGUGUAUACACGUCUGCAUUUUUCAGGAGUGAGGAUAUUUGCAUAACAGGUAUCUUUGCAGAUACCAGACAAACAGGAAGUUUCAGAACCUAUGCCAUUUCCUUUCACUGUGAAUCAGCAGCCUCUUUCUUCUCAUACAGAAAUGAUGAAAUCACAGGGUAUGGCCCCGGAAUGUGAAGACCAGGAGAAGAGCACUAAGCCUUCAUAGUCACCUUCUUUGGUGGGUGGCUUCCCUGGACACUCACCCAUAGCUGCCCUCCUCAGGCCAUCGCUCUCCACCUUCCCAGCUUCUUAGAGUGCUUCAAGAGAUGUUUGACACCAGCCCUAAACAUAUUAGCAAACAGCCUCUAGUCACACAACACGUUACCUCAGUGCUGGUGAUGAGGCCCAGCAACAAGGCUAGGGGGAACCCCCACCUCCUAGUUCCUGGCCCCAGGUUUGCAUCACAGAGAGGCCCUGCCGAGUAAUGAGCACGCCCUGAUCUUGGCACCAGAAUACCUGGUUCAGACCCCUGCUCUAUCCAGAGAGACCUUGAGCAAGCUGCUUUCCCUCUGAGCCUUGGUUUCCCUGUUAGUUAAAUGGGCUGAUAAUGGCUCCCUGCAGAUCUGGGGCUAAUAAUGCAUGUGAAGGGUGGGGAAUUUAAAGCAGCAAUAAAAGCACAGGCUCUGGAGUCAGAUACCUGUGUUCAAAACCCAGCUCCAUUGUGUACUGGCUGUUGGACUUUGGGCAGGUUACCUGUUUUCCAAGUCUUAAUUUGACUAUCUGUAAAAUGGAGAUGAUAAGAAUAUCUACUUGCCAGUCUAUUGAGAGAGUUAAAUGAUACAUCUCUUAGCACUGAGCACAGCGUCUGGCUCAAAGAAAACUCAACAAUGUGAACCAGUUUUCCCACCGCCUCCUCCCUCCUUCCCCACCCAAAAUUGCAAGAUCCAUGAGGUAGGGACCACUGCUGAUCUUCACCAGUGUGUGCCCAGCACCUGGUUUGGCCCUAAUAAGGCUUGAUAAAUCAGUUGAAUGAAUGAAUGGAUGUUCCUAGUUCAUAGCAGGUGCUGAAGAAAUGUAUCUAUAUAAAAUAAAUUUAUAUGAAAGCCACAGGCCAAAUCAUGCUGUCUCUGUUUUUGAAAUUUCUAAAAGGACGGCAGUAUAGAAUAAUGAUUACAAACAUCAUAGGCUUAGCAGUCAGAUCUGGCAUGUCCUUUAACUUCUCUCAGCCUCUCUUUCCUGAUCUGUAAAAUGGGCACAAUUGGUAGCAACUCACCCAUGCUGGGUUGUUUCAGGGUUAAAUGAGAUAAUGCAUGCAAAGCACCUAACAUAGCACUCUGCACAUAAUAAGCAUGUGGAAGAAUGUAUCAGCUAAAUCCCAGUUUCAUGACCCUAGAAGAAGAUAAUACAAAGACUUGACUUUUUUCCCAAGAGGACAAGCCUUGGUACUGGCAUCCCUCAUGCCUCGUUGCUCUUGGUUCCCUCCUUCCCAACAGUAUCCCUCUCCGUCCUUAGGCCUAGUGGUCUGUUCUUGUUGAAGAACUGGAGCUUCUGAGGCCCAUCCCCCCCACCUCCUGCAGAGCCCACUCCCCGCUGACCUCACCCUACUGCACAGAAGUACAGGGAUGCAGGAGCCUUGUUUCUGCAAGGAAGACAGCACGCUCGCCCAGGCGUUUACUCUGAAGCAUGAGUGUUCAGCUCUGUCUUCAUGUCGUCUCUGCCACAGUAGUGCUCACUGGCCACUCCUCCAGGAGUAACUCCGGGACACAGUGGACACACAGGCUCAGCACCAAGCUCUAGAGUCGGACAGCCUGACUUUUCAUCCAGGGUCUGCUCAGACAAGCUGUUUGAUCUCAGGAGCCCCAUAAAGCAAGAACUAUUAUGAGCCCAUUUCACAGAUGAGUAAGGGGAGACCUGGGACUUCGGCCCAGAUCCACUGCACCCAGGGCCUGUGAGCUUCCCCACUGCACCCUCUGGCCUCCCUUCUCAGCCCUGCUGCUUCUCACUCGUCUCCUGCCGGGAGGGACAAGGUCCAGGGGGAGGCAAGGUCCAUGGGGCUGAGGAACUCAUGGCCAGAGUGUGGGCGGCUGAAUCGGCCAAACUCCAGAAUGCAAACCCACCUGGCUUUCUGGGCAGGUCAGGAUUCUGGGGCUGGCAUCCCACUGCCUCCCUGUCAGUCAGUGCGGAUGCAUGGUAACUCUCCCGUUAGCACAAAUGAAAAAAUCAGGAUGACUUCUGAAGCUGUGUGACGGCUCUGGUUUAGCCACUCGAACUAUUAAAUUUAGGCUUUGGGGACUGAAGUUAGAAGACCGAGGACUGGAUAACAUUAGCAGAAAGUACAGAGUUCCUGUAUACUUCCUCCCUCCACUCGUCAGUUUCCUCUAUUAUUAACACCUUGUAUUAGGGUGGUACAUUUAUUACAAUUGAUGAACCAAUAUUGAUACAUUAUUACUAACUAAAGUCCGUAGUUUACAUCAAGGUUCACUCUUGGUGUUGUACAUUCUAUAGGUUUUGACAAAUGUAUUCAACACAAAAGUCCUGGUUCACGCCUCCUCCAGAGCAGGGAAAUAACUGUAUGGCUUUCACAACCAGUUAAAAUUCAUUACUGCUGAGUGUACACAAAGAUGUCAUUUAUGUCAAG